CACCUACGGGAGGCUGCAGUGGGGAAUAUUGGACAAUGGGCGCAAGCCUGAUCCAGCCAUGCCGCGUGUGUGAAGAAGGCCUUCGGGUUGUAAAGCACUUUUGUUCGGGAAGAAAUCGUGCGGAUUAAUACUUCGUACGGAUGACGGUACCGAAAGAAUAAGCACCGGCUAACUUCGUGCCAGCAGCCGCGGUAAUACGAAGGGUGCAAGCGUUACUCGGAAUCACUGGGCGUAAAGCGUGCGUAGGCGGUUCGUUAAGUCUGCUGUGAAAGCCCUGGGCUCAACCUGGGAACUGCAGUGGAUACUGGCGGGCUAGAGUGUGAUAGAGGAUGGUGGAAUUCCCGGUGUAGCGGUGAAAUGCGUAGAGAUCGGGAGGAACACCAGUGGCGAAGGCGGCCAUCUGGAUCAACACUGACGCUGAGGCACGAAAGCGUGGGGAGCAAACAGGAUUAGAUACCCUGGUAGUCCACGCCCUAAACGAUGCGAACUGGACGUUGGUUGCAACUUGGCAAUCAGUGUCGAAGCUAACGCGUUAAGUCGCCGC
Molecule: ribosomal RNA, 544 nt
Filed under: uncultured bacterium
Lineage: Bacteria
Description: bacterial SSU rRNA
Rfam family: Bacterial small subunit ribosomal RNA
Source: RNAcentral